UUGUGGGCCCAGCAGAGAAGACAGUAAGUACACAGCAAUUUAUAUUAUUACUCUGCCCAUUGAGACGCAACUUGGGCUCCAAUGCCUUUGUGUGUGCAUUUUAUGGGGCAAAAAGCAUUAAAAAAAAAGUGACUCACGAUUGCUCAACGUCAUCUUUCAUUGGACUUUGGGUUUGGAACCGAGCCACACAUUCAAACACACGUUUAUGUAUGUCAUUUGUUUUGCCACACUUUGUCUUUUAUCUUCACAGAUGCUACGACGUCAACUUAUUUUCUCUUAAAGCGUUCAAUAAUCAUUUUGAAAUCUCCUACGUCAACUCCAUCAUGUGGUCCUUUACGGAAUACCAAUACAGCAAAUAUAUCAGCUUUGUCUGUAUUGCACUCCGUUUGGAAUGCUCAAAUUGAUACCAGGAAAAAGACAAAGUGGAACCUCUAAAUAUUCAAUGUCCGCUUUUUCAUCCGGAGCAAAGGAGCUUGAGCAUCAUCAUCUCCAAAGAGUGACGGUACUGACCCAAUGUUCGUACCUCAGUUUUUGCCAUUUGUCUGGCUCUACUCGACCGACCUCCAAAACCCAAAAAUGCAUAUCAAUGCAUCGGAACUUGGAUGAAAGAAGGAUCUGGCCCCACCUGGUAAUUACAAACCUUUUUCA
Molecule: long non-coding RNA, 648 nt
Organism: Syngnathus acus (greater pipefish)
Lineage: Eukaryota; Metazoa; Chordata; Actinopteri; Syngnathiformes; Syngnathidae
Exons: 3
Source: RefSeq, a predicted model, not a curated record